RNAcentral lists this ribosomal RNA (253 nucleotides) under uncultured bacterium. Its description in RNAcentral is "partial 16S ribosomal RNA". It matches the Rfam family "Bacterial small subunit ribosomal RNA", at positions 524 to 776 of the family's 1533-position model. The record is from RNAcentral.
UACGGAGGGGGCUAGCGUUGUUCGGAAUUACUGGGCGUAAAGCGCGCGUAGGCGGCUUUGCAAGUUGGAGGUGAAAUCCCGGAGCUUAACUUCGGAAUUGCCUUCAAAACUGCUUGGCUCGAGUUCGGGAGAGGUGAGUGGAAUUCCCAGUGUAGAGGUGAAAUUCGUAGAGAUUGGGAAGAACACCAGUGGCGAAGGCGGCUCACUGGCCCGUAACUGACGCUGAGGCGCGAAAGCGUGGGGAGCAAACAGG